GCGCCUGUAGCUCAGCUGGAUAGAGCAACGGACUUCUAAUCCGUAGGUCGCAGGUCCGAAUCCUGCCAGGCGUACCA
This 77-nucleotide transfer RNA is filed under the name Pseudomonadota bacterium. Its description in RNAcentral is "Proteobacteria bacterium (groundwater metagenome) tRNA-Arg". It matches the Rfam family "tRNA". From Rfam's summary of the family: Transfer RNA (tRNA) molecules are approximately 80 nucleotides in length. Their secondary structure includes four short double-helical elements and three loops (D, anti-codon, and T loops). The record is from RNAcentral. RNAcentral also lists the same sequence under 2 other names. Lineage: Bacteria; Pseudomonadati; Pseudomonadota.